CGGACGGGUGAGUAAUGUCUGGGAAACUGCCCGAUGGAGGGGGAUAACUACUGGAAACGGUAGCUAAUACCGCAUAACGUCGCAAGACCAAAGCGAGGGACCUCCGGGCCUCGCGCCAUCAGAUGAACCCAUAUGGGAUUAGCUUGUAGGUAAGGUAACGGCUUACCUAGGCGACGAUCCCUAGCUGGUCUGAGAGGAUGAUCAGCCACACUGGGACUGAGACACGGCCCAG
RNAcentral lists this ribosomal RNA (232 nucleotides) under uncultured bacterium. Its description in RNAcentral is "partial 16S ribosomal RNA". It matches the Rfam family "Bacterial small subunit ribosomal RNA", at positions 99 to 334 of the family's 1533-position model. The record is from RNAcentral.